GUGGGAUCUGAAAGGAAUGCUGGAAUCUGGGGCAGGGGCUCUGCGAGGGGUGGGACCUAGCAUGUUGGGGCUCAGGAGGCCUGGAGUGCAGAGAGGGACAGAGGACUGGCCUUGUGCAGGGCGUCCCUUGGGGUGGGGGCUACCUCAGGCCUAGAGCUUGGGUGUGGGCCUGGGAGGGGCCACCAGAAGGGGCUGCAAGGUGGGGAAAGUCAGAAGCAGAAGCCCCAAGAGAGAGGCACGGCUGCCCACCCUUCCCCUCCCACCUUGCUCCUGAGAGGGGUGGUGGGAGGUGGCUGAGCCCCCAGAGCUUCCUUUGCUGUCCAUGCUGAGAGGGACCCAGGAGUAGGAGGCUCUGCGGAGGAGCUGAAGUGAGGACAAGGACCUCGGUGACCCAGGCUGAUUUGUGCCUAAUGCAUGCCACAAGGCUUCAGCAGCUCCAACCUUGUGGCAGACGCCAUUGAAGCCCUCAGGAGAGAGCAGCAGGAAAACAAAAGAAAUCUGCACAGUGGUGCAGUGGAGAGUUUUACCAGGCAAAGUUGGUGGAGCCUCACCGGGCUCUUUGUAUCCUGUCUAGGGAAGUAGAAUGAAGCAAGGGGAGCAAGACAGCUGGAAGGAAUUUGCAUUGGGUAGAGUGCUAUGGAGAGGGUAUCUGCACCUAUCAUGGUGGUGCAGGCCUCAGAUUCCAGCACUCUGGGAGCCUGAGGCAGGAACAUUUGACGUGUGAGCCUGAUCUGGGUAACUUCCCAAUUUAGGGAGACCCUGUGUCAAAACAAAACGCUCCCCGCAAGGAAAACUGAGCCAUGUUUUCUCUCACAUUUGUGGAGGCCUCAAGUCCAAGCCCAGCAUCUGGAGCCUGAAAUCCAGGGAAUAUUUCCACCAUCCUCAUUCCUGGAGCGCUUUGGAGGGCCAUUUUGCAGUCUCCCACAACAAUGUCCACCCCAAGGAUCACUCAAGUAUGGAGCACAUUUCCACCACACCAAACUGACGAUGGGCUGCAUCUGCCAUGGGAGGCAGGACGAUGGACCCUGGGGUGUGCCAUGCCCCGACAAAUUGUUCCGUCGGGGUCUGAAGACACGAGGAGUGGAAGGACAGGACCCUGAAGGUGCUGGAUCAAAGGUCGGCAGAGACGAGGUGGUUGCAUUACUCUGAAGGUUACAGGCCCACAGGUAUCCAAGCUGGGGCCUUAAAAGCAAACUUAUUUAUUAUCUCACAGUUCUGGGGGCUGGAAGCCGAGAGUCAAGGCAUCGUUGGAGCUGUCUCCCUCUGAAACCAGGAGCAGAGAUUCUGUCCUCGGCUCUUCCCA
RNAcentral lists this long non-coding RNA (1303 nucleotides) under Heterocephalus glaber (naked mole-rat). Its description in RNAcentral is "lncRNA (ENSHGLG00000038782.1)". The record is from RNAcentral. Lineage: Eukaryota; Metazoa; Chordata; Mammalia; Rodentia; Bathyergidae.